UGUGUUUAUUGAAAAAAAAAGCUCAUAAUAAUCUAAAGCGAUAAAAUAUAUUUGUAUAAUACUGCAACAAUUUUGCAAUAGCUAAAUAUUUACUGCGUUACAAAACUUUAUCAGUUACCGAGUAUUUAAGAAACUUUAUUGAUGAAAUGAAAAGUUUUAUGUGUAGGGGAUUAAACUAUUUAGGAAAACAUUAUUCAGCUAAUUUAAAUUCUAUUAUAUGUAAUGCAUCAGCAUCGAUGCUCCUGCAAGAGCAUAUUUAAAGUGUAUAAAAAGCCAUGGUGGCUAUUUAUGCUUGUGAAAGAUGCUGUCAAGAAGGUGUAUAUAUUGGACAUAAAUUAACAUACCCUGAAGUCAUUGCAAGACUCAGAACUGAUAAUGAUUUUUGUUUGCAGAUAGAUGAAGAUCAUUAUGUACCAAAUGUUGUUUCACCUUUAAUUGAGUAUGGUUUGGGAUUAGUUACUCAGAUACCAUUAGACUAUAUGCAUUUAGUUCUUUUAGUUGUACAGAAAAGAAUGAUAAGUUUGUAGAUGAAAGGAGACUUAAAGUACCGAUUUCCAUCAAAGGUGGUAAAUAAUAUAUCAGCAAACUUACUAGAUUUACGAAACAGUAUGCCAAAAUAAUUCUAUUGCAAACCAAGAUCUUUAAGUGAUUACAAACAAUGGAAAGCAACAGAGUUUCGUCAGUUUUUACUUUAUUCUGGGUCAUUGACAAUGUUUGGUAUGGUACCAAAAGUAAUUUAUGAAAAUUUAGUUUCAUAAAUAUUUGUUAAGUCCAGAUUUAGUCAGAUAUGUUGAAUACUUAAAUUAUGUUGAAAAGUUAUUGUGCAAUUUUGUUACUAAUUUUAAAGAACUUUACGGAGAAGCCCAACUAGUUUAUAAUGUCCAUUCAUUGUUACAUAUAGUUCAAGAUGCUAAAAGAUUUGGAGCAUUAAAUAAUAUUUCCCCUUUUCCUUUUGAAAAUCAGUUAAGAAUGCUUAAAAAAAUGGUUCGUUGACCACAAAAUCCGAUUGCACAGAUUGUAUGUCGAAUGGCUGAGAAGUCAAACACUUUUAACUAAAAACAAAAUAUUUGAAGGAACAUCAAAUAUAAAAGCCAUAUUCAAAAAAAAAACAUACAUCAGGGCCUGUGCUACAAAGUUUGAAUCAAUAUUACUACAAAAGAGAUAAUAAAUUUGCGUCAACUGCACAAGGGGACAAUUGUUUUGAAAUAUUUGGAAAACCUUCAGUGCUCUUAAAUAUUCUUCUUAAUGAAGAUAAUGAAGCAAUUGUUGUAUAUGACACAUUUAAAGAAUUGGAGUCAUUUUUCGAAUACCCUAUGAAAUUCACUCAGUUAGAAAUAUAGCUUGCUAAAAAUUUGAUAGGAAAUUUCAAAGUAUUAGCAUUUUAGAGCUUGGUUGCAAAUUUGUUAUAAUGCCUAUAAAAAGAGACUUUGUAUUAAUUCCACUUCUUCACCAAUAAAAAGCUUUUUAAUAAUGUUUUUGUUUUUGUUUUAUGCUUGUUUGAAAAGUAUUAGUAUUUUAUUAAUAAUUUAGUCAUUCCAUGUUAAGUAGAGUAAUUUUUUUUUACAAGUGUUUUGUAAUUAAUGGCUAAAUAAAAAUAGUGGUCACUUUUUUAAACCACAUUGGAUAUUAAUUAGAAAUUUUCAGGACUUAUGUGCCAAGUCAAUAAGUUUCAAUGAGGGGAAUUCGGUUGGGAUGGAAUGAUUCUAUAUAUGUUAAAUAAUAGUUGUUAAAGUUACAAAAAUAAGUUAAAAAAUUGUUAAAUAAAAGUCUAUAAAUGUAAAUAUCGCUGAUAAAUUUUCAUGUAGUGAACUAAUCUUAGUAGUACAAUAAAACAAGUUGCAAAAUAAAUUUUUUAUACAUGGUUACUUUUCACUAUUUUCUGUAUAUUGUGAUUCCAUUACAUAUAUAAGAAUAGUAUAUAUUUUUUUAAAUAAUUGUUAUUGCAUUAGCCGUAUUAUUUUUAUCAUGGUUAUUGCAAUUUUUGACUAAGUGCUGAAAAUCCUAUAUCAGGCCUCGGCGGUCAUAAAUAAGUACGUGGAGAAAAGCUCUCCUAAAACGAACUUGGGGAGCUGUGCAAGCUGCUCCUCAUUUAAAUCAGCACUCUUUUUUAUUUUUAAUUUUUUUUUGCAACAAUAUUGUCUUUUAAAAAGCAUUUCAGUAUAUUAUGCAAUUAAUUUUUUUAAAUGACAUUUAUUUUAUUUAAAAUUGUUUUUUUUAUUUUAUUUAGAAUGAUAAUUAUACUUUUAUGAGAAAAAUUAUACUUUUGCAAGAGCCGUAAAUAGCUCUUGUAAACCGUUUUAGGGGAGUGUGAGCGAGAGCUUUCUGCCGAGGCAUGCUAUAUCGAUAAAAUAUGUUCUCUAUUUAGAUUAUGUAUGCAAUAGUUGAAUUUAACGACUCAGUCAGUGAAAUUAUACCAGGUAAAUGGUUAUGUACAGAAGAGGAAGAUAAAUGUUUUUGGCCUGAGUUUUUGCCUCUUUCAAAAGUAUCAAAGCUGGUUAGCCAAAAAGCAAAUCCUAAUCCACAAGGUUGAAUACUAACUUGAUCAAGGAGGUUGUACUUUAGUGGAGGAUAAUGGCCGUAAUAGUGCUGUAAUGACAACAAACACAAAUACAUAUGAACCGAAGUAAAAAUACUCCAGAAAAUUUAAACUGUAACGAGGAAUGCACAUCAGUAAUCAAAUGUGAGGGGCUUGGUUUUGUUCACAAGACUGAGAUGACAAACGAGCCAAACGUGCUAAAGCCUUUAAAAACACAAGGCUUCACCGAGAAGUACCUUUGGAUAUAGAAUGAUGAAUAAUAUGAAAUAUUUAAUAUAUUAUAUAUAAUAUAUAAUAUAAUACUUAAUAUAUUAUUAAAUAAUAUAAUAUUUAAUAUAUUAUAUAUAAUAUAUAAUAUA
Hydra vulgaris (swiftwater hydra) is the source of this 2895-nucleotide long non-coding RNA. RefSeq lists it as uncharacterized. The record is from RefSeq and is a predicted model, not a curated record. NCBI's taxonomy places the organism in Eukaryota, Metazoa, Cnidaria, Hydrozoa, Anthoathecata, Hydridae.